This 479-nucleotide ribosomal RNA is filed under the name uncultured bacterium. RNAcentral describes it as "bacterial SSU rRNA". It matches the Rfam family "Bacterial small subunit ribosomal RNA", at positions 28 to 507 of the family's 1533-position model. The record is from RNAcentral.
GAUGAACGCUGGCGGCGUGCUUAACACAUGCAAGUCGAACGGAACUUGUCUGAUAGAGGAUUCGUCCAAUUGAUUACAAGUUUAGUGGCGGACGGGUGAGUAACACGUGAGCAACCUGCCUUCGAGAGUGGGACAACAGAGAGAAAUUUCUGCUAAUACCGCAUAUGACCACAGUACCGCAUGGUACAGGGGUGGAAGGAGCAAUCCACUCGAAGAUGGGCUCGCGGCUGAUUAGCUAGUUGGUGAGGUAACGGCCCACCAAGGCGACGAUCAGUAGCCGAACUGAGAGGUUGAUCGGCCACAUUGGGACUGAGACACGGCCCAGACUCCUACGGGAGGCAGCAGUGGGGAAUAUUGCGCAAUGGGGGAAACCCUGACGCAGCAACGCCGCGUGAAGGAUGAAGGCCUUCGGGUUGUAAACUUUUUGAUUGGGGACGAAGAAUGACGGUACCCAAAAACAAGUCACGGCUAACUACGUG